GAGGAUUUAGCUUAAUGAAAGUGUUUGGUUUGCGUCCAGUUGAUGUAAAUGUGAUGUUUACAAUCCUUA
Molecule: non-coding RNA, 69 nt
Organism: Fukomys damarensis (Damara mole-rat)
Lineage: Eukaryota; Metazoa; Chordata; Mammalia; Rodentia; Bathyergidae
Source: Ensembl